AUGAACGGACAGUAUACGUCGAAACCAGCAGGCCCACUUACAAAAGAAGCUAGAGAAUCUAUUAUCAGGAGGAAACAACAACUAGAAGAAAAAAGGAGUAAUAGAUGCAGGAAUACACAGGAAACUACCAAUAAAAAAGAAGAAGAUUCUUCACGAAAGAGAAAGGAACAAAUCAAAGAAAUAAGAGAUGUCAAGCGUUCAAGGAUAAAUGGGAGGGACAAUGACCUUGAAAGCAAUAUCAUAGAAACAAGCAGCAGCACUACAUCCAGAAUUUAUUUUAGCACGAUAUGGAACUUUGGAAAGCCAACAUAUAGAUGCGAACAUUGCAAUGCAAUACUAAGGUGUGAAGAAAGAUUAAAUUCUCAUAAAGGAACCAAAAAGCCUUCUUUCGGAAUUUGCUGCAAACAAGGUAAAAUUGACCUACCAAAGAUAGCAUAUCCUCCACCUUAUCUCACCGGACUAUUAACGGGUGAAGGAAGUGAUGCAACAAACUUCAGAGAAAAUAUUAGGUCAUACAACUCAAUGUUCUCAUUCACAUCAAUGGGAGGAGCUGUUGACAAAGAAAUAAACAAAGGCAAAGGACCAUAUGUUUUUAGACUGCAUGGCCAGAACUAUCACCACAUCGUAAGUCUACUACCUGAAGAAGGUAACAAACCUCGAUUUGCCCAGUUGUACAUCUAUCAGACAGAAAAUGAGGUCCAAAAUAGGAUAGAUGCUUCAAGAUGCAAUGAUAAAAAAUCAACGGUGGACACUGCCAUUGUCAGAAAGCUACAAAAUAUGCUUGAUGAGAACAACAUCCUCGCAAAAUCUUUCAGAAUGGCAAGAGAUAGAUUCAAAGAAGAAGACUACUAUGAUUACACACUUCGGAUACUUGGGAAAAGGAACAGAACACACAACCUUCCAUCUGCAUCCGAAGUUGCAGCAUUGGUUGUAAGAGAUCCAACUGGAGAGAGCGAAGGAUGA
Molecule: ribosomal RNA, 963 nt
Filed under: Triticum aestivum (bread wheat)
Lineage: Eukaryota; Viridiplantae; Streptophyta; Magnoliopsida; Poales; Poaceae
Description: partial small subunit ribosomal RNA
Source: RNAcentral